RNAcentral lists this long non-coding RNA (248 nucleotides) under Lathyrus oleraceus (garden pea). RNAcentral's name for it is "Pisum sativum (pea) long non-coding RNA (PSAT_LNC040710)". The record is from RNAcentral. Lineage: Eukaryota; Viridiplantae; Streptophyta; Magnoliopsida; Fabales; Fabaceae.
CACGACCAGACAUUUACCGAUGACUGGGAAGGAACUCGAUGUUUACCGACAUCGAACAAGGAUGUUUAUAAGUGAAACAAGACCAGACAUUUACCGAUGUCAAAGAAAGUGCUACACGACCAGACAUUUACCGAUGACUGGGAAGGAACUCGAUGUUUACCGACAUCGAACAAGGAUGUUUAUAAGUGAAACAAGACUAGACAUUUACCGAUGACUGGGAAGGAACUCGAUGUUUACCGACAUUGAAC